Molecule: small nucleolar RNA, 139 nt
Organism: Cavia aperea (Brazilian guinea pig)
Lineage: Eukaryota; Metazoa; Chordata; Mammalia; Rodentia; Caviidae
Source: Ensembl
CCCACUCUAUGGAAUCUACACUCAACAGUUUAUUCCUGCUGGUAUGUUUAAAGGACAGUGCAAUAGAAAUUCAAUAUCUGGCAUUGGUGGUUUUCUUGGCUCUGUGCAUGUCAUACUUCGGAUUUCUAUUGCUACAGUA